RNAcentral lists this ribosomal RNA (505 nucleotides) under uncultured bacterium. RNAcentral describes it as "partial 16S ribosomal RNA". It matches the Rfam family "Bacterial small subunit ribosomal RNA", at positions 28 to 507 of the family's 1533-position model. The record is from RNAcentral.
GACGAACGCUGGCGGCGUGCCUAAUACAUGCAAGUAGGACGCACAGUUUAUACCGUAGCUUGCUACACCAUAGACUGUGAGUUGCGAACGGGUGAGUAACGCGUAGGUAACCUGCCUGGUAGCGGGGGAUAACUAUUGGAAACGAUAGCUAAUACCGCAUAAUAUUAAUUAUUGCAUGAUAAUUAAUUGAAAGGUGCAAUUGCACCACUACCAGAUGGACCUGCGUUGUAUUAGCUAGUAGGUGAGGUAACGGCUCACCUAGGCGACGAUACAUAGCCGACCUGAGAGGGUGAUCGGCCACACUGGGACUGAGACACGGCCCAGACUCCUACGGGAGGCAGCAGUAGGGAAUCUUCGGCAAUGGACGAAAGUCUGACCGAGCAACGCCGCGUGAGUGAAGAAGGUCUUCGGAUCGUAAAGCUCUGUUGUAAGAGAAGAACGGGUGUGAGAGUGGAAAGUUCACACUGUGACGGUAUCUUACCAGAAAGGGACGGCUAACUACGUG